This 504-nucleotide ribosomal RNA is filed under the name uncultured bacterium. Its description in RNAcentral is "bacterial SSU rRNA". It matches the Rfam family "Bacterial small subunit ribosomal RNA", at positions 107 to 607 of the family's 1533-position model. The record is from RNAcentral.
UGAGUAAUGUCUGGGAAACUGCCUGAUGGAGGGAGAUAACUACUGGAAACGGUAGCUAAUACCGCAUAACGUCUUCGGACCAAAGUGGGGGACCUUCGGGCCUCAUGCCAUCAGAUGUGCCCAGAUGGGAUUAGCUAGUAGGUGGGGUAACGGCUCACCUAGGCGACGAUCCCUAGCUGGUCUGAGAGGAUGACCAGCCACACUGGAACUGAGACACGGUCCAGACUCCUACGGGAGGCAGCAGUGGAGAAUAUUGCACAAUGGGCGCAAGCCUGAUGCAGCCAUGCCGCGUGUAUGAAGAAGGCCUUCGGGUUGUAAAGUACUUUCAGCGAGGAGGAAGGCAUUAAGGUUAAUAACCUUAGUGAUUGACGUUACUCGCAGAAGAAGCACCGGCUAACUCCGUGCCAGCAGCCGCGGUAAUACGGAGGGUGCAAGCGUUAAUCGGAAUUACUGGGCGUAAAGCGCACGCAGGCGGUCUGUCAAGUCGGAUGUGAAAUCCCCGGG